CCUUCACUCUGGGACAAGCCCUGGAAACGGGGUCUAAUACCGGAUAUCACUUCCGCAGGCAUCUGCGGGAGUCGAAAGCUCCGGCGGUGAAGGAUGAGCCCGCGGCCUAUCAGCUUGUUGGUGAGGUAAUGGCUCACCAAGGCGACGACGGGUAGCCGGCCUGAGAGGGCGACCGGCCACACUGGGACUGAGACACGGCCCAGACUCCUACGGGAGGCAGCAGUGGGGAAUAUUGCACAAUGGGCGAAAGCCUGAUGCAGCGACGCCGCGUGAGGGAUGACGGCCUUCGGGUUGUAAACCUCUUUCAGCAGGGAAGAAGCGAAAGUGACGGUACCUGCAGAAGAAGCGCCGGCUAACUACGUGCCAGCAGCCGCGGUAAUACGUAGGGCGCAAGCGUUGUCCGGAAUUAUUGGGCGUAAAGAGCUCGUAGGCGGCUUGUCACGUCGGGUGUGAAAGCCCGGGGCUUAACCCCGGGUCUGCAUUCGAUACGGGCAGGCUAGAGUGUGGUAGGGGAGAUCGGAAUUCCUGGUGUAGCGGUGAAAUGCGCAGAUAUCAGGAGGAACACCGGUGGCGAAGGCGGAUCUCUGGGCCAUCACUGACGCUGAGGAGCGAAAGCGUGGGGAGCGAACAGGAUUAGAUACCCUGGGUAGUCCACGCCGUAAACGGUGGGAACUAGGUGUUGGCGACAUUCCACGUCGUCGGUGCCGCAGCUAACGCAUUAAGUUCCCCGCCUGGGGAGUACGGCCGCAAGGCUAAAACUCAAAGGAUUGACGGGGGCCCGCACA
This 785-nucleotide ribosomal RNA is filed under the name Actinomycetales bacterium TLI207. RNAcentral's name for it is "bacterial SSU rRNA". It matches the Rfam family "Bacterial small subunit ribosomal RNA", at positions 130 to 927 of the family's 1533-position model. The record is from RNAcentral. Lineage: Bacteria; Bacillati; Actinomycetota; Actinomycetes; Actinomycetales.